RNAcentral lists this microRNA precursor (114 nucleotides) under Helianthus tuberosus. Its description in RNAcentral is "miR530 stem-loop (htu-MIR530)". Its record names the gene htu-MIR530. The record is from miRBase by way of RNAcentral. Lineage: Eukaryota; Viridiplantae; Streptophyta; Magnoliopsida; Asterales; Asteraceae.
UGCAUUUGCACCUGCACCUUUCUACUUUUCUUUUCCUCCAUCUCCAUCCUUACCGUCCAACAACAUUAUCACCAUGUACAUUAGAAGAGCGGAAAGGUGCAAGUCAAAUGCAGG